RNAcentral lists this ribosomal RNA (250 nucleotides) under uncultured bacterium. RNAcentral describes it as "partial 16S ribosomal RNA". It matches the Rfam family "Bacterial small subunit ribosomal RNA", at positions 524 to 773 of the family's 1533-position model. The record is from RNAcentral.
UACGUAGGGAGCGAGCGUUAUCCGGAUUUAUUGGGUGUAAAGGGUGCGUAGACGGGAGUCUAAGUUGGUUGUGAAAUCCCUCGGCUUAACUGAGGAACUGCAACCAAAACUGGAUUUCUUGAGUGCGGAAGAGGAGAGUGGAAUUCCUAGUGUAGCGGUGAAAUGCGUAGAUAUUAGGAGGAACACCAGUGGCGAAGGCGACUCUCUGGUCCGCAACUGACGUUGAUGCACGAAAGUGUGGGGAGCAAAC